ACUCAUAAAUAAAAGGAAAAGAAAAAAGUAAACCUGUAUUGAUAUAAAGGCCAUCGUAGAUAAAAUUUAAUUUAAGCAUCGGAAAUUGGUAUGAAGGUUCUUAAUUUCCAAUUAUAAAGAUUUUUUUCAUGCAUAACCAUAAUCAGGAAAGUCAGAUUGUCUUGGGUUAAGGUAUUAGUUUUGGAAUUUUUGCUAAUUUUUUUGUCAUAAAAAAAUGUUGUAAUAAAACAUUUGUGUUCGAUAAAUUUUUUAACUCGACAAUUAAUCAAAUUUAUAAAACCCCCUCCAAACCAAAUUUCUAGAUCCGCGCCUGUGAUAGUAGGUACAAGAUUAACCAAAACGUCUAAUUUCAGAUGAUUUUAGACUACCAUCUCCAAUGGAACAGGGCUAUUAAUUUAUAUAAGAAAAAAGUGGUAAUUAACAAAAUUAAAUCCUUCUUAUUUUCUUUCAUAUGAAUCUUCCAAACCAACCUUAAUACCAAAUUGUAGUAUUUAUUUUACAGCUAGGCGUGUGCGUAGUAUUUAUACUCCCUAAUUAUCUCAAUUUUACUUAACAUUAAAGAAUAUCAAAAGAAAAGUUAGGGUAUGAAAAGUGUAGUAUAAUGUCAACAAAUUACGAUAGACUCAUUGUUUGGCUUUUCGAAAAUAGGUUUGAGUUAAUUAAUAAAUAAUUACAUUAUAACGACGACAGGAAUUUGAAUUUCUUUUUAUAAAGAUGGGUGAAAUGUAUGUAGGUACCUAUAAUAAUGGCAAGUAAUAUAUCUAACUGCAUGGGCAAAGCUAGCUUAAUACCUUUGUUUCCCUAUUCCUUCCAGUCGAAUAGAAAACGAAUUACAUAAAAGACUAGAAUGCCCAAAUAGACAUACAUACAUUUUAUGGCUGGAAUGGACAUCAGUCUUUGAUAACAUAAUAUGUUAUAUAUUAUGUACAUUUUUUUUUUAUCAAAAAACCAUCCCCAAAAUUUGCCAUGACAAUUCUUUAUUUCAGACAAAACUGUUUUCAGGGAAGUCAGAAUGUGUUUUAAUUCCAUGAGAUGCAGCAUCGAUUAGGUUGUUUUUGUAAUGACAUUUUUUCCUUGUUUUUGGACAAAAUGUACGUGAUAUACUGAUGACCUACACAAUAAUUAUGCUGAGGUGGGUAUUAUCUUAAAACGAUUGUUGUCUUGGAUGGGUUUCUGAUUGGGAUAUAAUUAGAUGUGAAAUUCUUUCUGACUCUACCUUGCAAGCCAAAACUCAGUAGUUUGGUUGAAAACACAACUAGCUCAGAAAUUUUGUCAAAGUAUGGUCAUGAAACCGAUUUUUUUGCGGGACGGUAUUGAAUUCCACAGUCUUGACAAAAAUACUAUUCAAUGUAUUUUACUUAUUUUUCACAAAUGUUGACUUUGAAAUCGAUUAUUUCGAAAACAACUGAUUAAAAUAACUUGAUUUAAAAACUUCAAUUAAGUGCACAGUUCUAGCUUUUGAAAAAGGUAUAAUUGAUAACUGUAAGUGUUGCCGUUUUUUUUAAAUAAUUUUUUUAGAAGUUUUUUAGAAAAAUUGCCCCUCCCUCCUAAAAGGGGCGCAUAGACCCUCCCUCCCAUAACAAAAAAUGAUUGUAUUGAAUAUCUUUACAAAAAACCGUUUUUAAUUCUCGGCGCCUGAGUUAUCGUACUCAAGCCUUGCGUUGAAAUUAUUUUCUUUUUGCAAAGAAAAAUUCUUGAACAAAAUAAUAAGCUACAGAGAACAAUAUGGAAGUAUGGUGGACAAAAUUAAGCAAAAUCCUGGAACUUGCAAUGGCGGCCGCCCUUGCAAAAAGUGGAAAGCAAUCGCAUGCCGACUUUUCCCAGAAUCCCUUAUAUGCAUUGAGUUAUAUGAUUUAUAAUUCAAGAAAUACAGUGACCAGUUAAUUUCUUCGUAUGACUUACAAAUUUCUUAAAUAUUAAUAAUACAUAUUUAUAAAAUCUAUAAACUCCUGCUCAAAAUUAA
Long non-coding RNA from Episyrphus balteatus (marmalade hoverfly), 1963 nucleotides. RefSeq lists it as uncharacterized. Lineage: Eukaryota; Metazoa; Arthropoda; Insecta; Diptera; Syrphidae. The record is from RefSeq and is a predicted model, not a curated record. The transcript has 3 exons.